GAGUUUGAUCGUGGCUCAGCCUGAACGCUGGCGGCGUGGUUAAGACAUGCAAGUCGCACGGUGUAGCAAUACACAGUGGCGCAAGGGUGAGUAAUGUAUCGCUAAUGUACCCCGGACUCUGGGAUAGCUGCCCGAAAGGGCAGGUAAUACCAGAUAAUAUAACCUGGUCGCAUGAUUGGGUUCUCAAAGGUCCGCCGGUCUGGGAGCAGGCGAUAUCGUAUCAGCUAGUUGGUGAGGUAACGGCUCACCAAGGCGACGACGCGUAGCCGGACUGAGAGGUCGGUCGGCCACAUCGGGACUGAGACACUGCCCAGACUCCUACGGGGGGCUGCAGUAACGAAUCUUCCCCAAUGCACGAAAGUGUGAGGGAGCGACGCCGCGUGGAGGAUGAAGUCCUUC
RNAcentral lists this ribosomal RNA (399 nucleotides) under uncultured Phycisphaerae bacterium. RNAcentral's name for it is "bacterial SSU rRNA". It matches the Rfam family "Bacterial small subunit ribosomal RNA", at positions 9 to 419 of the family's 1533-position model. Lineage: Bacteria; Pseudomonadati; Planctomycetota; Phycisphaerae. The record is from RNAcentral.